CACUAUCGUUAACUGAAUACAUAGGUUAACGAGGCGAACCGGGGGAACUGAAACAUCUAAGUACCCCGAGGAAAAGAAAUCAACCGAGAUUCCCCCAGUAGCGGCGAGCGAACGGGGAGCAGCCCAGAGUCUGAAUCAGCUUGUGUGUUAGUGGAACGGUCUGGAAAGUCCGACGGUACAGGGUGAUAGUCCCGUACACCAAAAUGCACAGGUUGUGAACUCGAAGAGUAGGGCGGGACACGUGGUAUCCUGUCUGAAUAUGGGGGGACCAUCCUCCAAGGCUAAAUACUCCUGACUGACCGAUAGUGAACCAGUACCGUGAGGGAAAGGCGAAAAGAACCCCGGCGAGGGGAGUGAAAAAGAACCUGAAACCGUGUACGUACAAGCAGUGGGAGCACCUUCGGGUGUGACUGCGUACCUUUUGUAUAAUGGGUCAGCGACUUAUAUUCUGUAGCAAGGUUAACCGUAUAGGGGAGCCGCAGGGAAACCGAGUCUUAACUGGGCGUUAAGUUGCAGGGUAUAGACCCGAAACCCGGUGAUCUAGCCAUGGGCAGGUUGAAGGUUGGGUAACACUAACUGGAGGACCGAACCGACUAAUGUUGAAAAAUUAGCGGAUGACUUGUGGCUGGGGGUGAAAGGCCAAUCAAACCGGGAGAUAGCUGGUUCUCCCCGAAAGCUAUUUAGGUAGCGCCUCGUGAACUCAUCUUCGGGGGUAGAGCACUGUUUCGGCUAGGGGGUCAUCCCGACUUACCAACCCGAUGCAAACUACGAAUACCGAAGAAUGUUAUCACGGGAGACACACGGCGGGUGCUAACGUCCGUCGUGAAGAGGGAAACAACCCAGACCGCCAGCUAAGGUCCCAAAGUCAUGGUUAAGUGGGAAACGAUGUGGGAAGGCACAGACAGCCAGGAUGUUGGCUUAGAAGCAGCCAUCAUUUAAAGAAAGCGUAAUAGCUCACUGGUCGAGUCGGCCUGCGCGGAAGAUGUAACGGGGCUAAACCAUGCACCGAAGCUGCGGCAGCGACACUAUGUGUUGUUGGGUAGGGGAGCGUUCUGUAAGCCUGCGAAGGUGUGCUGUGAGGCAUGCUGGAGGUAUCAGAAGUGCGAAUGCUGACAUAAGUAACGAUAAAGCGGGUGAAAAGCCCGCUCGCCGGAAGACCAAGGGUUCCUGUCCAACGUUAAUCGGGGCAGGGUGAGUCGACCCCUAAGGCGAGGCCGAAAGGCGUAGUCGAUGGGAAACAGGUUAAUAUUCCUGUACUUGGUGUUACUGCGAAGGGGGGACGGAGAAGGCUAUGUUAGCCGGGCGACGGUUGUCCCGGUUUAAGCAUGUAGGCUGGUUGUCCAGGCAAAUCCGGAUAAUCAAGGCUGAGGUGUGAUGACGAGGCACUACGGUGCUGAAGUAACAAAUGCCCUGCUUCCAGGAAAAGCCUCUAAGCAUCAGGUAACAUCAAAUCGUACCCCAAACCGACACAGGUGGUCAGGUAGAGAAUACCAAGGCGCUUGAGAGAACUCGGGUGAAGGAACUAGGCAAAAUGGUGCCGUAACUUCGGGAGAAGGCACGCUGGUGUGUAGGUGAAGUCCCUGCGGAUGGAGCUGAGACCAGUCGAAGAUACCAGCUGGCUGCAACUGUUUAUUAAAAACACAGCACUGUGCAAACACGAAAGUGGACGUAUACGGUGUGACGCCUGCCCGGUGCCGGAAGGUUAAUUGAUGGGGUUAUCCGUAAGGAGAAGCUCUUGAUCGAAGCCCCGGUAAACGGCGGCCGUAACUAUAACGGUCCUAAGGUAGCGAAAUUCCUUGUCGGGUAAGUUCCGACCUGCACGAAUGGCGUAAUGAUGGCCAGGCUGUCUCCACCCGAGACUCAGUGAAAUUGAACUCGCUGUGAAGAUGCAGUGUACCCGCGGCAAGACGGAAAGACCCCGUGAACCUUUACUAUAGCUUGACACUGAACAUUGAGCCUUGAUGUGUAGGAUAGGUGGGAGGCUUUGAAGCGUGGACGCCAGUCUGCGUGGAGCCAACCUUGAAAUACCACCCUUUAAUGUUUGAUGUUCUAACGUUGGCCCCUUACCGGGGUUGCGGACAGUGUCUGGUGGGUAGUUUGACUGGGGCGGUCUCCUCCCAAAGCGUAACGGAGGAGCACGAAGGUUAGCUAAUCCUGGUCGGACAUCAGGAGGUUAGUGCAAUGGCAUAAGCUAGCUUGACUGCGAGCGUGACGGCGCGAGCAGGUGCGAAAGCAGGUCAUAGUGAUCCGGUGGUUCUGAAUGGAAGGGCCAUCGCUCAACGGAUAAAAGGUACUCCGGGGAUAACAGGCUGAUACCGCCCAAGAGUUCAUAUCGACGGCGGUGUUUGGCACCUCGAUGUCGGCUCAUCACAUCCUGGGGCUGAAGUAGGUCCCAAGGGUAUGGCUGUUCGCCAUUUAAAGUGGUACGCGAGCUGGGUUUAGAACGUCGUGAGACAGUUCGGUCCCUAUCUGCCGUGGGCGCUGGAGAAUUGAGGGGGGCUGCUCCUAGUACGAGAGGACCGGAGUGGACGCAUCACUGGUGUUCGGGUUGUCAUGCCAAUGGCACUGCCCGGUAGCUAAAUGCGGAAGAGAUAAGUGCUGAAAGCAUCUAAGCACGAAACUUGCCCCGAGAUGAGUUCUCCCUGAGACUUUAAGUCUCCUGAAGGAACGUUAAAGACGAUGACGUUGAUAGGCCGGGUGUGUAAGCGCAGCGAUGCGUUGAGCUAACCGGUACUAAUGAACCGUGAGGCUUAACCUU
RNAcentral lists this ribosomal RNA (2758 nucleotides) under Klebsiella pneumoniae. Its description in RNAcentral is "partial 23S ribosomal RNA". It matches the Rfam family "Bacterial large subunit ribosomal RNA". Lineage: Bacteria; Pseudomonadati; Pseudomonadota; Gammaproteobacteria; Enterobacterales; Enterobacteriaceae. The record is from RNAcentral.